UGUAUGUCUGUCAGUAUGCGUGUAUGUAUGUCUGUCAGUAUGCGUGUAUGUAUGUCUGUCAGUAUGCGUGUGUGUAUGUCUGUCAGUAUGCGUGUGUGUGUGUGUCUGUCAGUAUGUGUAUGUAUGUCUGUCAGUAUGUGUGUAUGUCUGUCAGUAUGUGUGUAUGUCUGUCAGUAUGUGUGUGUGUGUGUCUGUCAGUAUGUGUGUGUGUGUGCCUGUCAGUAUGUGUGUGUGUGUGCCUGUCAGUAUGUGUGUGUGUGUGUCUGUCAGUAUGUGUGUGUGUCUGUCUGUCAGUAUGCGUGUGUGUCUGUCUGUCAGUAUGUGUGUGUCUGUCUGUCAGUAUGUGUGUGUGUAUAUGUAUGUAUGUCCUUAUGCGUGUUUGUGUCUGUAUAGGUCUAUGUGUCUGUUUCACUAUAUAUAUUGUUGAAAAAGAAUGUAAAACUAUAGUGCGGCCCACAUCAGUGUCUGAGGGACUGUGAACUGGCCCCCUGUUUAAAAAGUUUGAGGACCCCUGAUUUAAAAUGUAUUUAUUCUCAAGAAAUAGUUCCCUGUUUUAAACUAAACCUUUCUCUUUUUCUGUAUAUUAAAUAGAUUUGGCGCCAUAAUUUCUCCUUUCC
This is a non-coding RNA of Pelobates cultripes (western spadefoot toad), 617 nucleotides long. The record is from the annotation of a GenBank genome assembly. Lineage: Eukaryota; Metazoa; Chordata; Amphibia; Anura; Pelobatidae.